UGCUGGAGGUAUCAGAAGUGCGAAUGCUGACAUAAGUAACGAUAAAGCGGGUGAAAAGCCCGCUCGCCGGAAGACCAAGGGUUCCUGUCCAACGUUAAUCGGGGCAGGGUGAGUCGACCCCUAAGGCGAGGCCGAAAGGCGUAGUCGAUGGGAAACGGGUUAAUAUUCCCGUACUUGGUGUUACUGCGAAGGGGGGACGGAGAAGGCUAUGUUGGCCGGGCGACGGUUGUCCCGGUUUAAGCGUGUAGGUGUGUGUUCCAGGUAAAUCCGGUUCACUUUAACACUGAGGCGUGACGACGAGGCACUACGGUGCUGAAGCAACAAAUGCCCUGCUUCCAGGAAAAGCCUCUAAGCAUCAGGUAACACGAAAUCGUACCCCAAACCGACACAGGUGGUCAGGUAGAGAAUACCAAGGCGCUUGAGAGAACUCGGGUGAAGGAACUAGGCAAAAUGGUGCCGUAACUUCGGGAGAAGGCACGCUGACACGUAGGUGAAGUGAUUUACUCAUGGAGCUGAAGUCAGUCGAAGAUACCAGCUGGCUGCAACUGUUUAUUAAAAACACAGCACUGUGCAAACACGAAAGUGGACGUAUACGGUGUGACGCCUGCCCGGUGCCGGAAGGUUAAUUGAUGGGGUCAGCGCAAGCGAAGCUCCUGAUCGAAGCCCCGGUAAACGGCGGCCGUAACUAUAACGGUCCUAAGGUAGCGAAAUUCCUUGUCGGGUAAGUUCCGACCUGCACGAAUGGCGUAAUGAUGGCCAGGCUGUCUCCACCCGAGACUCAGUGAAAUUGAACUCGCUGUGAAGAUGCAGUGUACCCGCGGCAAGACGGAAAGACCCCGUGAACCUUUACUAUAGCUUGACACUGAACAUUGAGCCUUGAUGUGUAGGAUAGGUGGGAGGCUUUGAAGUGUGGACGCCAGUCUGCAUGGAGCCGACCUUGAAAUACCACCCUUUAAUGUUUGAUGUUCUAACGUGGACCCGUAAUCCGGGUUGCGGACAGUGUCUGGUGGGUAGUUUGACUGGGGCGGUCUCCUCCUAAAGAGUAACGGAGGAGCACGAAGGUUGGCUAAUCCUGGUCGGACAUCAGGAGGUUAGUGCAAUGGCAUAAGCCAGCUUGACUGCGAGCGUGACGGCGCGAGCAGGUGCGAAAGCAGGUCAUAGUGAUCCGGUGGUUCUGAAUGGAAGGGCCAUCGCUCAACGGAUAAAAGGUACUCCGGGGAUAACAGGCUGAUACCGCCCAAGAGUUCAUAUCGACGGCGGUGUUUGGCACCUCGAUGUCGGCUCAUCACAUCCUGGGGCUGAAGUAGGUCCCAAGGGUAUGGCUGUUCGCCAUUUAAAGUGGUACGCGAGCUGGGUUUAGAACGUCGUGAGACAGUUCGGUCCCUAUCUGCCGUGGGCGCUGGAGAACUGAGGGGGGCUGCUCCUAGUACGAGAGGACCGGAGUGGACGCAUCACUGGUGUUCGGGUUGUCAUGCCAAUGGCACUGCCCGGUAGCUAAAUGCGGAAGAGAUAAGUGCUGAAAGCAUCUAAGCACGAAACUUGCCCCGAGAUGAGUUCUCCCUGAGACUUAGAGUCUCCUGAAGGAACGUUGAAGACGACGACGUUGAUAGGCCGGGUGUGUAAGCGCAGCGAUGCGUUGAGCUAACCGGUACUAAUGAAC
RNAcentral lists this ribosomal RNA (1660 nucleotides) under Salmonella enterica subsp. enterica serovar Typhimurium var. 5-. Its description in RNAcentral is "bacterial LSU rRNA". It matches the Rfam family "Bacterial large subunit ribosomal RNA", at positions 1271 to 2909 of the family's 2925-position model. The record is from RNAcentral. Lineage: Bacteria; Pseudomonadati; Pseudomonadota; Gammaproteobacteria; Enterobacterales; Enterobacteriaceae.